This 439-nucleotide ribosomal RNA is filed under the name uncultured bacterium. Its description in RNAcentral is "bacterial SSU rRNA". It matches the Rfam family "Bacterial small subunit ribosomal RNA", at positions 32 to 507 of the family's 1533-position model. The record is from RNAcentral.
CUACAGAACGACGCUGGCGGCAGGCCUCAAACAUGCAAGUCUAGGGGGUGUAGCAAUACAUCACCGGCGGACGGGUGCGUAACGCGUGGGAAUAUACCUAUCGAUUCGGAACAACUGAGGGAAACUUCAGCUAAUACCGAAUACGUCCUAACGGAGAAAGAUUUAUCGUCGAUAGAUUAGCCCGCGUUCGAUUAGCUAGUUGGUGGGGUAACGGCCCACCAAGGCGACGAUCGAUAGCUGUUCUGAGAGGAAGAUCAGCCACACUGGGACUGAGACACGGCCCAGACUCCUACGGGAGGCAGCAGUUGGGAAUCUUGGACAAUGGGGAAACCCUGAUCCAGCCAUGCCGCGUGAGUGAUGAAGGCCUUCGGGUUGUAAAACUCUUUCGCGCACGACGAUAAUGACGGUAGUGCGAGAAGAAGCUCCGGCUAACUUCGUG